GAUGAACGCUGGCGGCGUGCCUAACACAUGCAAGUCGAGCGAACAGACGAGGAGCUUGCUCCUCUGACGUUAGCGGCGGACGGGUGAGUAACACGUGGAUAACCUACCUUUAAGACUGGGAUAACUUCGGGAAACCGGAGCUAAUACCGGAGAAUAUAUUGAACCGCAUGGUUCAAUAGUGAAAGACGGCUUUGCUUUCACUUAUAGAUGGAUCCGCGCCGCAUUAGCUAGUUGGUAAGGUAACGGCUUACCAAGGCAACGAUGCGUAGCCGACCUGAGAGGAUGAUCAGCCACACUGGAACUGAGACACGGUCCAGACUCCUACGGGAGGCAGCAGUGGGGAAUCUUCCGCAAAGGGCGAAAGCUUGACGGAGCAACGCCGCGUGAGUGAUGAAGGUCUUCGGAUCGUAAAACUCUGUUAUUAGGGAAGAACAGAUGUGUAAGUAACUAUGCGCGUCUUGACGGUACCUAAUCAGAAAGCCACGGCUAACUACGUG
Molecule: ribosomal RNA, 497 nt
Filed under: uncultured bacterium
Lineage: Bacteria
Description: partial 16S ribosomal RNA
Rfam family: Bacterial small subunit ribosomal RNA
Source: RNAcentral